UACGUAGGGGGCUAGCGUUGUCCGGAUUUAUUGGGCGUAAAGAGCGUGUAGGCGGCCUGGUAGGUCUGCUGUGAAAACUCGAGGCUCAACCUCGAGAUGUCGGCGGAAACCAUCUGGCUAGAGUCCGGAAGAGGAGAGUGGAAUUCCUGGUGUAGCGGUGAAAUGCGCAGAUAUCAGGAAGAACACCGGUGGCGAAGGCGGCGUUCUGGACUGCUACUGACACUGAGGAACGAAAGCCAGGGGAGCAAACGGG
Molecule: ribosomal RNA, 253 nt
Filed under: uncultured bacterium
Lineage: Bacteria
Description: partial 16S ribosomal RNA
Rfam family: Bacterial small subunit ribosomal RNA
Source: RNAcentral